CCUACGGGUUGCACCAGUGGGGAAUAUUGCACAAUGGGCGCAAGCCUGAUGCAGCCAUGCCGCGUGUGUGAAGAAGGUCUUCGGAUUGUAAAGCACUUUCGACGGGGACGAUGAUGACGGUACCCGUAGAAGAAGCCCCGGCUAACUUCGUGCCAGCAGCCGCGGUAAUACGAAGGGGGCUAGCGUUGCUCGGAAUGACUGGGCGUAAAGGGUGCGUAGGCGGUUGAUGCAGUCAGAUGUGAAAUCCCCGGGCUUAACCUGGGAACUGCAUUUGAGACGCAUUGACUAGAGUUCGAGAGAGGGUUGUGGAAUUCCCAGUGUAGAGGUGAAAUUCGUAGAUAUUGGGAAGAACACCGGUGGCGAAGACGGCAACCUGGCUCGAUACUGACGCUGAGGCGCGAAAGCGUGGGGAGCAAACAGGAUUAGAUACCCCCGUAGUC
RNAcentral lists this ribosomal RNA (440 nucleotides) under uncultured bacterium. RNAcentral's name for it is "bacterial SSU rRNA". It matches the Rfam family "Bacterial small subunit ribosomal RNA", at positions 338 to 795 of the family's 1533-position model. The record is from RNAcentral.